RNAcentral lists this ribosomal RNA (492 nucleotides) under uncultured bacterium. Its description in RNAcentral is "partial 16S ribosomal RNA". It matches the Rfam family "Bacterial small subunit ribosomal RNA", at positions 29 to 507 of the family's 1533-position model. The record is from RNAcentral.
AGUGAACGCUGGCGGUAGGCCUAACACAUGCAAGUCGAACGGCAGCACAGUAAGAGCUUGCUCUUACGGGUGGCGAGUGGCGGACGGGUGAGGAAUACAUCGGAAUCUACUUUUUCGUGGGUGAUAACGUAGGGAAACUUACGCUAAUACCGCAUACGACCUACGGGUGAAAGCAGGGGAUCUUCGGACCUUGCGCGAUUGAAUGAGCCGAUGUCGGAUUAGCUAGUUGGCGGGGUAAGGGCCCACCAAGGCAACGAUCCGUAGCUGGUCUGAGAGGAUGAUCAGCCACACUGGAACUGAGACACGGUCCAGACUCCUACGGGAGGCAGCAGUGGGGAAUAUUGGACAAUGGGCGCAAGCCUGAUCCAGCCAUACCGCGUGGGUGAAGAAGGCCUUCGGGUUGUAAAGCCCUGUUGUUGGGAAAGAAAAGCAGCAGGUUAAUACCCCGCUGUUCUGACGGUACCCAAAGAAUAAGCACCGGCUAACUUCGUG